UAGGGAAUCUUCCACAAUGGACGCAAGUCUGAUGGAGCAACGCCGCGUGAGUGAAGAAGGUUUUCGGAUCGUAAAGCUCUGUUGUUGGUGAAGAAGGAUAGAGGCAGUAACUGGUCUUUAUUUGACGGUAAUCAACCAGAAAGUCACGGCUAACUACGUGCCAGCAGCCGCGGUAAUACGUAGGUGGCAAGCGUUGUCCGGAUUUAUUGGGCGUAAAGCGAGCGCAGGCGGAAUGAUAAGUCUGAUGUGCAAGCCCACGGCUCAACCGUGGAACUGCAUCGGAAACUGUCAGUCUUGAGUGCAGAAGAGGAGAGUGGAAUUCCAUGUGUAGCAGUGGAAUGCGUAGAUAUAUGGAAGAACACCAGUGGCGAAGGCGGCUCUCUGGUCUGCAACUGACGCUGAGGCUCGAAAGCAUGGGUAGCGAACAGG
RNAcentral lists this ribosomal RNA (429 nucleotides) under bacterium. RNAcentral describes it as "partial 16S ribosomal RNA". It matches the Rfam family "Bacterial small subunit ribosomal RNA", at positions 355 to 776 of the family's 1533-position model. The record is from RNAcentral.